This 492-nucleotide ribosomal RNA is filed under the name uncultured bacterium. Its description in RNAcentral is "partial 16S ribosomal RNA". It matches the Rfam family "Bacterial small subunit ribosomal RNA", at positions 28 to 507 of the family's 1533-position model. The record is from RNAcentral.
GAUGAACGCUAGCUACAGGCUUAACACAUGCAAGUCGAGGGGAAACGGCAUCGAAAGCUUGCUUUUGAUGGGCGUCGACCGGCGCACGGGUGAGUAACGCGUAUCCAACCUGCCCAUCACUUGGGAAUAACCUUGCGAAAGUAAAACUAUUCCCCAUGAACAUCCCAGAAAGCCUCCGGAAGGGGUUUAACAUUUUAUCGUGGAUGGAGGGGGAUGCGUCUGAUUAGCUUGUUGGCGGGGUGACGGCCCACCAAGGCAACGAUCAGUAGGGGUUCUGAGAGGAAGGUCCCCCACAUUGGAACUGAGACACGGUCCAAACUCCUACGGGAGGCAGCAGUGAGGAAUAUUGGUCAAUGGGCGAGAGCCUGAACCAGCCAAGUAGCGUGCAGGAUGACGGCCCUAUGGGUUGUAAACUGCUUUUAUAAGGGAAUAAAGUGGGUCACGUGUGACUUUUUGCAUGUACCUUAUGAAUAAGGACCGGCUAAUUCCGUG